GCUUGGAGAACGGCAUUUCGGAAGGCAGUGGGAGGGGAAGCCCUUCCUAAAGACGUCUCCUGCCCAGGAAAGACCAGCCACGCACCCUGCGCCCCAGCGGUAGGGAGCAGAUUCUACUGGUCCUUCUGUGUACCCAGCACUUCACGGAAGGAGUCCCAUUGAGUCCUUCAGACAGCCCUGUUGAUGUUACCCGCAGUUUACGCGUGAAGAGACGGGCCUGCAGAGUCUAAGUGAUUGGCCCGUGGUCACAUGUGGAAAGCGGCGAAGCCAGUCAGUACUGCUUCUUCCCCACCUAAAACCUUGCCCAGCAAGCUGAAGCUGCAUUCUUGAUCUCCCUAUAGGUGUCAGCAAGAAAGCACAGCAGUCAGAAAUGAAGCCUCCCUCCCGCCCCUGGGAAAUCUGACCUACGUCCAGCUCCAAAGGCUAUUUGGACAACAUAAGCUCCCCUGCCAUGUGUCAUGCCCUGGGGACAAAGAGGAGGCCAUCUGUUUCAUCCCUGGGGGGUCCUGACAGAAAACCCUCUUGCAAAAGACAAGAAGGAAAUAUACCACCUGCUAACAGAAAUGGAGUUGGACAGGGCAGCGUCCAGGGCUGGCUUCGUGGUCGGUGGCACAGGACUCUGCACUUAACAAGGGCAUCGCGAUUGGCCUAAGUCUCCGCUAUCGCUCUUCUGAAAUCCCCGGAAUUCCUCGACAAAGG
Prionailurus viverrinus (fishing cat) is the source of this 699-nucleotide long non-coding RNA. RefSeq lists it as uncharacterized. The transcript has 3 exons. NCBI's taxonomy places the organism in Eukaryota, Metazoa, Chordata, Mammalia, Carnivora, Felidae. The record is from RefSeq and is a predicted model, not a curated record.